Sturnus vulgaris (Common starling) is the source of this 586-nucleotide non-coding RNA. The record is from RefSeq and is a predicted model, not a curated record. Lineage: Eukaryota; Metazoa; Chordata; Aves; Passeriformes; Sturnidae.
GUAUGUCUGCAAACAUGACAGGACAAAUAGCAGGAAUAUUUGCCAUACUACUUGGAAUGGAUGAUACUCCUUUCAAGUUAGUGAGGCAAUUCAGAGUAGUGAAGGCUGUCCUGUGUCUUGAAUUGUCUCUAAUCUCAUUGGAUCCCAAAAUGCUGGAACACGUAUCUGCCAAACUGUUACUGCUACCAGUAGCUAUUUCUGCUGAAAAGCUGAGCAAUGGCUACUUGUGCUGAAGCCCUGCUUCCCAGGAAAUGGCCGCUCAUCAGUUCCUGCUGGGGAGAGAAAAGCUGAAAACGGGGAAUGAUAAAGGGGCAUCCGGCCAAGGUCAACCCACUACAUGGGCCAAUUCACACUGUCCAUCUUUUUGAUGCAAAUACUUUGGGUUUGUUUUGUUAACAAGUAUUUUUGUUCAUUUGUACAUGAAGAGAAAUGGGAUAUCUCAAAAGGCACCAGGAAAGAGCUUUCCUUGAGCUCAGCAUCACAGUGGAUUGAUCUUUCCUGUCACAAGCUUGUGAGAGCUGUCUGUCCAACCUCACUGAAACCCACGUGUUUUGCAAUAAAAUUGGCAACCUGGGGAAGCACUGCA